This 891-nucleotide ribosomal RNA is filed under the name Peroneutypa sp. RNAcentral describes it as "partial large subunit ribosomal RNA". It matches the Rfam family "Eukaryotic large subunit ribosomal RNA", at positions 30 to 947 of the family's 3401-position model. Lineage: Eukaryota; Fungi; Ascomycota; Sordariomycetes; Xylariales; Diatrypaceae. The record is from RNAcentral.
GAACUAGCAUAUCAAUAAGCGGAGGAAAAGAAACCAACAGGGAUUGCCCUAGUAACGGCGAGUGAAGCGGCAACAGCUCAAAUUUGAAAUCUGGCCCUCGGGUCCGAGUUGUAAUUUGUAGAGGAUGCUUUUGGUGCGGUGCCUUCCGAGUUCCUUGGAACAGGACGCCUUAGAGGGUGAGAGCCCCGUACGGUUGGACACCAAGCCUCUGUAAAGCUCCUUCGACGAGUCGAGUAGUUUGGGAAUGCUGCUCUAAAUGGGAGGUAAAUUUCUUCUAAAGCUAAAUACCGGCCAGAGACCGAUAGCGCACAAGUAGAGUGAUCGAAAGAUGAAAAGUACUUUGAAAAGAGGGUUAAAUAGCACGUGAAAUUGUUGAAAGGGAAGCGUUUAUGACCAGACCUUGGCCGGGCGGAUCAUCCGGUGUUCCUCACCGGUGCACUUCGCCCGGCCUAGGCCAGCAUCGGUUUUCGUAGGGGGAUAAAGGCCCCGGGAACGUAGCUCCCUCCGGGGAGUGUUAUAGCCCGGGACGUAAUACCCUUGCGGGGACCGAGGUUCGCGCUCCGGCAAGGAUGCUGGCGUAAUGGUCAUCAACGACCCGUCUUGAAACACGGACCAAGGAGUCGAACAUUUAUGCGAGUGUUUGGGUGUUAAACCCUCACGCGUAAUGAAAGUGAACGGAGGUGAGAGCCCGUACGGGUGCAUCAUCGACCGAUCCUGAUGUCUUCGGAUGGAUUUGAGUAAGAGCAUAACUGUUCGGACCCGAAAGAUGGUGAACUAUGCGUGGAUAGGGUGAAGCCAGAGGAAACUCUGGUGGAGGCUCGCAGCGGUUCUGACGUGCAAAUCGAUCGUCAAAUCUGCGCAUGGGGGCGAAAGACUUAUCGAACCAUCUAG